Molecule: ribosomal RNA, 230 nt
Filed under: uncultured bacterium
Lineage: Bacteria
Description: partial 16S ribosomal RNA
Rfam family: Bacterial small subunit ribosomal RNA
Source: RNAcentral
GAUCAUGGCUCAGGAUGAACGCUGGCGGCGUGCCUAACACAUGCAAGUCGAACGAGAUGCGUAUCGGAAAGCUUCGGCCGGAAGAUGCGUUAUCUAGUGGCGGACGGGUGAGUAACACGUGGGUAACCUGCCUUAUGGAGGGGGAUAACAGAGAGAAAUCACUGCUAAUACCGCAUAAGCACACAGUACCGCAUGGUAGAGUGUGAAAAGAUUUAUCACCAUAAGAUCGG